This 84-nucleotide transfer RNA is filed under the name Verrucomicrobiota bacterium. RNAcentral's name for it is "tRNA-Leu". It matches the Rfam family "tRNA". From Rfam's summary of the family: Transfer RNA (tRNA) molecules are approximately 80 nucleotides in length. The record is from RNAcentral. Lineage: Bacteria; Pseudomonadati; Verrucomicrobiota.
GCGAAGGUGGCGGAAUUGGCAGACGCACUACCUUGAGGUGGUAGCGGGUUUACUCUCGUGGGGGUUCGAGUCCCCCCUUUCGCA